CUUCAUAUUACCAAUGAGAUGGCUGAGUCUUGAGAAGGGAGGAGAAUUUCCUAAGAUCUCUGCCCAGAGAUUGCCAUGAAUAAGGAGGCCCAGCCAGAUGACCUGGACUCCAGCCUGCACUCAAAGAUCACUAGUGUGGCUCGGGCACAUGUAUCAGUCAAGUUCUGUCAUCCUGACUGAUGCCUUCUCUCUCAUGUCCCAGCAGAGGGAUGCUUGGAGUCACGGUACCAGCUGGAAGCCCCAGAAUGUGAAAUAUAAAAAGUCAAAUAACUGUUUUAAUGGUCCCCAAACACUUUUGCAACUUGAGUCACUGUACCGGAAUUGGAUUUCAGUUGGGUAAAUCUUUUGUAAGGUGCAUGAAAGGAAGUCCUGGUAGGAAAUUUGAGAAAGCAUUAAUGUGGCAGAUGAGCUCCCAUGUGGUUCCAAGUGAGAAAAGAGUACUUAUGAACCUUGACGGCCCGAAAACUGAUUGCCCUAGGAAGACUUCGUCCAAGCCCAGGGAAGUGAACUUCAAUGUACAUCUGCCUAAGGAAAACAGUCUCCAAGGACAAGUUAAGGAAAACAGUCUCCAAGGGCAAGUGGGAUAUGGAUAUAUCCCAGUUGGGGGUGAAAUGAAACCAUUAAAACUUUACUUUUUAAACUCUCA
Macaca mulatta (Rhesus monkey) is the source of this 646-nucleotide non-coding RNA. NCBI's taxonomy places the organism in Eukaryota, Metazoa, Chordata, Mammalia, Primates, Cercopithecidae. The record is from RefSeq and is a predicted model, not a curated record.